Molecule: ribosomal RNA, 864 nt
Filed under: uncultured crenarchaeote
Lineage: Archaea; Thermoproteati; Thermoproteota
Description: bacterial SSU rRNA
Rfam family: Archaeal small subunit ribosomal RNA
Source: RNAcentral
ACCCCACUGCUAUCGGGAUAGGACUAAGACAUGCUAGUUGAGCGCUUCAGCUAAAAAGAGGCGCAGCGUACAGCUCAGUAACACGUGGCUAAUCUGCCCUUAGGACGAGAACAACCCCGGGAAACUGGGGCUAACUCUCGAUAGGUGAAGAACUCUGGAAUGAGUCUUCGCCCAAAAAGCUUCACGUUAUGCGCGUGAAGUUGCCUAAGGAUGAGGCCGCGACCGAUCAGGUUGUUGGUGAGGUAAUGGCUCACCAAGCCUUUUACCGGUGCGGGCCGUGAGAGCGGGAGCCCGGAGAUGGGCACUGAGACAAGGGCCCAGGCCCUACGGGGCGCAGCAGUCGCGAAAACUUUGCAAUACACGAAAGUGUGACAGGGCUAUCCCGAGUGCCAUCCGCUGAGGAAGGCUUUUACCCAGUCUAGAACGCUGGGGGAAUAAGGAGAGGGCAAGUCUGGUGUCAGCCGCCGCGGUAAUACCAGCUCUCCGAGUGGUGUGGAUGUUUAUUGGGCCUAAAGCAUCCGUAGCUGGCUAGGUUAGUCCCCUGUUAAAUCCACCGAAUUAAUCGUUGGAUUGCGGGGGAUACUGCUUGGCUAGGGGACGAGAGAGGCAGACGGUAUUUCCGGGGUAGGGGUGAAAUCCUAUAAUCCCGGGAAGACCACCAGUGGCGAAGGCUGUCUGCUAGAACGCGCCCGACGGUGAGGGAUGAAAGCUGGGGGAGCGAACCGGAUUAGAUACCCGGGUAGUCCCAGCUGUAAACGAUGCAGACUAGGUGUUUGGACGGCCACGUGCCGUUCUAGUGCCGCAGGGAAGCUGUUAAGUCUGCCGCCUGGGGAGUACGAUCGCAAGAUUGAAACUUAAAGGAAU